UAAAUCGACCGCCUGGGGAGUACGGCCGCAAGGUUAAAACUCAAAUGAAUUGACGGGGGCCCGCACAAGCGGUGGAGCAUGUGGUUUAAUUCGAUGCAACGCGAAGAACCUUACCUGGUCUUGACAUCCACAGAACUUAGCAGAGAUGCUUUGGUGCCUUCGGGAACUGUGAGACAGGUGCUGCAUGGCUGUCGUCAGCUCGUGUUGUGAAAUGUUGGGUUAAGUCCCGCAACGAGCGCAACCCUUAUCCUUUGUUGCCAGCGGUUCGGCCGGGAACUCAAAGGAGACUGCCAGUGAUAAACUGGAGGAAGGUGGGGAUGACGUCAAGUCAUCAUGGCCCUUACGACCAGGGCUACACACGUGCUACAAUGGCAUAUACAAAGAGAAGCGACCUCGCGAGAGCAAGCGGACCUCAUAAAGUAUGUCGUAGUCCGGAUUGGAGUCUGCAACUCGACUCCAUGAAGUCGGAAUCGCUAGUAAUCGUAGAUCAGAAUGCUACGGUGAAUACGUUCCCGGGCCUUGUACACACCGCCCGUCACACCAUGGGAGUGGGUUGCAAAAGAAGUAGGUAGCUUAACCUUCGGGAGGGCGCUUACCACUUUGUGAUUCAUGACUGGGGUGAAGUCGUAACAAGGUAACCGUAGGGGAACCUGCGGUUGGAUCACCUCCUUA
RNAcentral lists this ribosomal RNA (672 nucleotides) under Klebsiella pneumoniae. RNAcentral's name for it is "bacterial SSU rRNA". It matches the Rfam family "Bacterial small subunit ribosomal RNA", at positions 861 to 1533 of the family's 1533-position model. Lineage: Bacteria; Pseudomonadati; Pseudomonadota; Gammaproteobacteria; Enterobacterales; Enterobacteriaceae. The record is from RNAcentral.